GAUGAACGCUGGCGGCGUGCCUAACACAUGCAAGUCGAGCGGCAGCGAGGGGUGCUUGCACCCUGUCGGCGAGCGGCGGACGGCUGAGUAACGCGUGGGAACGUGCCCCAAAGUGAGGAAUAACUGCCCGAAAGGGUAGCUAAUACCGCAUAUUAUCUUCGGAUCAAAGGAUUUAUCCGCUUUGGGAGCGGCUCGCGUCGGAUUAGGUAAUUGGUGAGGUAAUGGCUCACCAAGCCGACGAUCCGUAGCUGGUCUGAGAGGAUGACCAGCCAGACUGGAACUGAGACACGGUCCAGACUCCUACGGGAGGCAGCAGUGAGGAAUCUUCCACAAUGGGCGAAAGCCUGAUGGAGCAACGCCGCGUGCAGGACGAAGGCCUUCGGGUUGUAAACUGCUUUUAUAAGUGAGGAAUAUGACGGUAACUUAUGAAUAAGGAUCGGCUAACUACGUG
RNAcentral lists this ribosomal RNA (451 nucleotides) under uncultured bacterium. RNAcentral describes it as "partial 16S ribosomal RNA". It matches the Rfam family "Bacterial small subunit ribosomal RNA", at positions 28 to 507 of the family's 1533-position model. The record is from RNAcentral.